UACGUAGGGUGCAAGCGUUAAUCGGAAUUACUGGGCGUAAAGCGUGCGCAGGCGGUUAUAUAAGACAGUUGUGAAAUCCCCGGGCUCAACCCUGGGAACUGCAUCUGUGACUGUAUAGCUAGAGUACGGUAGAGGGGGAUGGAAUUCCGCGUGUAGCAGUGAAAUGCGUAGAUAUGCGGAGGAACACCGAUGGCGAAGGCAAUCCCCUGGACCUGUACUGACGCUCAUGCACGAAAGCGUGGGGAGCAAACGAGG
RNAcentral lists this ribosomal RNA (255 nucleotides) under uncultured bacterium. Its description in RNAcentral is "partial 16S ribosomal RNA". It matches the Rfam family "Bacterial small subunit ribosomal RNA", at positions 524 to 777 of the family's 1533-position model. The record is from RNAcentral.